Ipomoea nil (Japanese morning glory) is the source of this 4064-nucleotide RNA transcript. It is a transcript of the gene named pumilio homolog 1-like, with no coding region annotated. The record is from RefSeq and is a predicted model, not a curated record. The transcript has 10 exons. Lineage: Eukaryota; Viridiplantae; Streptophyta; Magnoliopsida; Solanales; Convolvulaceae.
UUGAUUCUCUUCUCAAAGUAGUUGAAAAACAAAACCCUAGGGGGUUCUCCGCAAGAACAAUCGCCGCCGGCUUGAUCUUUCUCUCAACUUAACCCUACUACACCCUUCAGAGCGGUUCCCACUCUGUAUCAGUUCUGCGCUCUCUGGUUUAUCAAGCCUCUUUUUUGAAAUUCCAUUGUUUUUGCAUUGUUCAACCAUUUGCAGUAAUUUAAGCAAAAUAAGUGAUUUUUAUGCUUCUUAGAUGUUUGAUCACAGAGGGUUCAUAAUUUUUACUUAGAAAACCAACAUAUAUUAAAGUUUGUAUAAUCGAAGAUUGGAUUUUAUGAGCUGAAAGUCCUGAUUUUUAGGUUUUUACAUGUGAGUCUUGAUUAUUUUAGGGUUCAGAUUACAGAGUUGUUGGUUUCAUAGCCCCUUUUCUGUCGUUUUUAGGGUUAGUGGUGUUGGCUGUGGGAUUUUGAGUAAUUGGUGAAUUUGCUGAGCUUGUGAAUAUGUUAUCUGAAUUCAGUAGGAGGCCAAUGAUGGGAAACAAUGAAAACUCGUUUGGAGAUGAUUUUGAGAAGGAGAUAGGGCUUUUACUUUCUGAACAUCGUCGUCAAGAGGCUGAUGAUCUUGAAAAGGAACUUAAUUUAUAUAGAAGUGGCUCAGCUCCUCCUACUGUGGAGGGUUCUUUUACUGCAGUUGGUGGUUUGUUUAAACAUGGUGCUGGAGGUGGUAGCAGUGGCGUUGGAGGGAGCUCCACCAUUCAGGAAUUUGCGCGGAACAAAAAUGGGAAUGGUUUCAUAUCAGAAGAGGAGCUUAGGUCAGACCCUGCUUACUUGUCUUACUAUUAUGCUAAUGUGAAUCUGAACCCUAGGUUGCCUCCUCCUCUGAUGUCCAAAGAGGAUUGGAGGUUUGCACAGCGCUUACAAGGAGGGAACUCUGCAAUAGGGGAUAGGAGGAAAGUAAACAAGAAUGAUGGUGCCAUGGUUGGUAGGUCACUAUUUUCCAUGCCACCAGGAUUUAACUCAAAGAAAGAGGAGACUGAGAAUGAAUCAGACAAAUUACAGGGUUCAGUUGAGUGGGGUGGGGAUGGGCUGAUUGGUUUGCAGGGAUUAGAAUUGGGUACCAAACAAAAGAGCAUUGCUGAGAUAUUUCAGAAUGAUUUGAACCGUGUUCCUGCAUCUGGUGGUCGCCUUUCACGCCCAGCAAGCCGUAAUGCAUUUGAUGCUAGCGAUGAUAACUUGAAUUCUGCAGAACCUGAUAUUUCUCACCUUCGUCAUGACAUUUCAUCCUUAGACCCAUUAAGGUCUGCAGCAAAUGCCCAGGGUUCAUCUGUUCAACAUGUAGGACCGGCCUCAUCAUAUUCAUAUGCUGCUGUUGUGGGUGCUUCAUUGUCAAGAAGCACCACUCCCGAUGCUCAACGUGUUGCUACUGCUCCUAGUCCUUGCAUUACUCCUAUUGGUGGUGGGAGGAUUGUUACAUCAGAGAAAAAAAGUAUUAAUAGUCCAAAAACAUUUAAUGGUGUCACUUCUCAUACAAAUGGGCCCACAGAUCUGGUUGCUGCUUUGUCUAGUAUGAACCUUUCAAAUGGUAGUCAGAGUAAUGCAAAACAGCAUGCUUACUUGAAGAAAUCUGAAUCUGCACAUUAUAAUAUUCCUUCUGCUUCUCAGCAGACUAGAGCACAAUACACUGAGGCCGGUGCUAGCAACGUUGAUGACCUUCAUAGUUCUAUUCUCCAAUCUGACCUUCACAAAUCUACUGUUAACUCUAAUAACUCAUACCUAAAAGGAUCUCCUACUUCAACGCUCAAUGGUGGAGCUGGCUUACUUUCUCAUCACCUGAAUUUGGACAGUUCCAAUACACCAUAUUCAAGUUAUGGGUUGAGUGGCAAUUCUGCCAAUCCAAUGUCGAGUCAGCAUGGCAACUUUAAUCUUCCACCCUUAUUUGAAAAUGCUGCAGCAGCAUCUGCUAUGGGUGUUCCGGGAAUGGACUCAAGAAUGUUGGGUGGUGUAAAUUUGAAUGCUGCUGCAUCUGAGCAGUACCUUGGUAGGAUGGGAAAUCAGAUGGCUGGUGGUGCUUUGCAGGCACAAUUUAUGGAUCCACUAUAUGCUCAGUACUUAGUUCAGUUUGCAGCACUUAAUGAUCCUUCCAUGGAUCGGAGCUAUAUGGGCAAUUCAUAUAUGGACUUGCUUCAGAAAGCUUAUGUUGGCAACAUGCUAUCUCCUCAGAAAUCACAGUAUGGUGUUCCAUUGAAUAGCAAAAGCAUGGGUUCUAAUCAUCAUGGCUACUAUGGGAAUCCUGCAUUUGGUGUAGGUUUCUCAUAUCCCGGGAGUCCAUUGGCAAACUCUCCUAUAGGACCUGGAAGUCCUAUGAGGCACAGUGAUCAUAGUAUGAGAUUUUCUGGAGGAUUGAGAAAUUUAGGUGCAAGUGUUGGAGGCUCCUGGAACUUAGAUAACAUGGAAACCAGUUUUCCAUCCUCUCUCCUGGAAGAGUUCAAGAGCAAUAAAACUAAAUGUUUUGAGCUAUCAGAGAUUGCUGGUCAUGUUGUUGAGUUCAGUGCUGACCAAUACGGGAGCCGAUUCAUUCAGCAAAAAUUAGAGACUGCCACAGCAGAAGAGAAAAGCAUGGUUUUCCAGGAAAUUAUUCCUCAUGCAAUUACAUUGGUGACUGAUGUCUUUGGUAACUAUGUAAUCCAAAAGUUUUUUGAACAUGGAAUGGCAACUCAGAGGAGAGAACUAGCUAACAAGCUCUUUGGGAGUGUAUUAACAUUAAGCCUUCAAAUGUAUGGCUGUCGAGUGAUCCAGAAGGCAAUAGAAGUAGUUGAUGUGGACCAGAAGAUUAAGAUGGUUGAGGAGCUCGAUGAUCAUGUCAUGCGUUGUGUACGUGAUCAGAAUGGGAAUCAUGUCAUCCAGAAGUGUAUUGAAUGUGUGCCAGAAGAUCACAUUCAAUUUAUUGUUUCAACAUUUUUUGGUCAAGUUGUGACGCUAUCUACUCAUCCAUAUGGAUGUCGAGUAAUACAGAGAGUACUAGAACACUGCAACGAUCCACAAACCCAAAGUAAAGUCAUGGAAGAGAUUCUAGGAUCUGUAAGCACAUUGGCACAGGAUCAGUAUGGUAAUUAUGUUGUACAGCAUGUACUGGAGCAUGGAAAGCCGCAUGAGAGGUCUACUAUUAUUAAGGAAUUAGCUGGUAACAUUGUUCAGAUGAGCCAGCAGAAGUUCGCUUCAAAUGUUGUAGAGAAAUGCUUGACAUUCGGUAAUGCUAGUGAAAGACAACUUCUCGUGAAUGAGAUGCUUGGCACAACUGAUGAAAAUGAGCCACUUCAGGCGAUGAUGAAAGAUCAGUUUGCAAAUUACGUCGUACAAAAAGUUUUGGAAACUUGCAGUGAUCAGGAGCGUGAACUGAUCCUUUCACGCAUAAAAGUCCACUUGAAUGCAUUGAAGAAAUACACCUACGGGAAGCACAUUGUUGCACGUGUUGAGAAACUCGUUGCUGCCGGGGGUGAGUAAUUCUUCUUCCCUUCUCGCUCACUCUCGUCUUUUCUUCAGGACGUUGUAGACAUGCAGCACUCCCUAAUUAUUACUUUCUUCGUCUUGAAUGCAGAAAGGAGAAUGGCUGCUCAGACUCCAAAUCCCGCAUAGAUCUUCAUAGAAAAGAAAGAUGUACAGCUAACCGAGGCUAGUUUGAGCUGCCUCUCUCCCUUUCUUUUCUCGAUACCUAGUUCUCUGGCUCCUCCGUGCCCUUGUUCCGUGAUCUGUGAUUGCAAAUAAAGUUGUUGCUCCUACUAGAGAUCUGUACAUUAUGUAGCUUAAAGAAGUCUCUAUACACAGAACUAAGUAAAGCUAAAAGCCAGGCUGUUACAUAUUCUGAUGGCUGUUGCAGAGGAAGUGAAGCUUCUAUUAUAAACCAUGUAAAAAUGAUACCAACCUGGCCAUAGUAGUUUUUAUAUGAUCAACGUGACUGUACAAAUGUUACCAUGUUGAGAGAUAUGAUGUUUUAGGCAUGGCUGGCCAGAGUUUUCAUGUAUGCUACUUAGUAUUUAUCAUGUUCUUUUAAUGCUGAGUUAUAUGUUUUGUAUGCCUCAA